RNAcentral lists this long non-coding RNA (673 nucleotides) under Monodelphis domestica (gray short-tailed opossum). RNAcentral's name for it is "lncRNA (ENSMODG00000042438.1)". The record is from RNAcentral. Lineage: Eukaryota; Metazoa; Chordata; Mammalia; Didelphimorphia; Didelphidae.
UAAGACUGUCCUUUAGAAGCUUUACAUUUCCUUCGUUGUCCACUAAUGACUUGGCUUUUGCAACUUGUGGUUUACUUUGUAGCAAGAUUAUAGACCCCUAAUGAUGAUGAAGUAUAUGAUUGGGAACUUUGAUGUGUGGAAUGGCCCACAUGAAGCUGUUGAUGAAAAUGAUAGUCCAUUUCCUGAAUCCAGUUGUUUUCUCUGGCCAUCUCCCUCCACAUCCCCGCCUCCUAAACUUUCCUGGAUUCCUUCAAGUCUCAGGCCUUGAUGAAGAGAGGAGUUGUGGAAUUGUUCAUGAUCUCAGACAAUAAGGAUGACUGGAGCAAAGGCAAAAUGGAAGGUUGUGUCUGAUUCUUCAUGACCCUAUUUGGAGGUUUUCUGGAUUGGUUUGCCAUUUCCUUCUCCAUCUCACUUUACAGAUGAAGAACUUAAGCAAAGAAGGUUAAGUUACUUGCCCAGGGUCACACAGUUAGUAUGUGUUUGAGGCUAAUUUUUAAAGUCAGGAAGAUAAGUCUCCCUGAUUCUUAGACCUGAUACUUUACCCACUAUUACCAUCUGGCUGCCCCAUCUCAAAUUACUUAAUGGUUUUGUGUGUAUGUCUUUAAAGUACUCAGAUUUGCCAUUUUAAUGGAAAAAUAGCAUUCCAUUCCAUUAACAUAUCAUUUUGUUUAAC